RNAcentral lists this ribosomal RNA (414 nucleotides) under uncultured microorganism. Its description in RNAcentral is "bacterial SSU rRNA". It matches the Rfam family "Archaeal small subunit ribosomal RNA", at positions 459 to 872 of the family's 1478-position model. The record is from RNAcentral.
CAGCCGCCGCGGUAAUACCGGCGGCCCGAGUGGCGGCCACUAUUAUUGGGCUUAAAGCGUCCGUAGCCGGGUUGGUUAGUCUCCCGGGAAAUCUGGCCGCUUAACGGUCAGAAUUCCGGGAGAUACUGCCAGCCUAGGGACCGGGAGAGGCCGAGGGUAUUCCCGGAGUAGGGGUGAAAUCCUAUAAUCCCGGGAGGACCACCUGUGGCGAAGGCGCUCGGCUGGAACGGGUCCGACGGUGAGGGACGAAGGCCAGGGGAGCAAACCGGAUUAGAUACCCGGGUAGUCCUGGCUGUAAACGAUGCGGACGUUGUGUCGGACAAGCUAUGAGCUUGUCCGGUGCCGGAGGGAAACCGUUAAGUCCGCCGCCUGGGGAGUACGGCCGCAAGGCUGAAACUUAAAGGAAUUGGCGGG